RNAcentral lists this long non-coding RNA (816 nucleotides) under Physcomitrium patens. Its description in RNAcentral is "long non-coding RNA (PPAT_LNC002661)". The record is from RNAcentral. Lineage: Eukaryota; Viridiplantae; Streptophyta; Bryopsida; Funariales; Funariaceae.
AAUCUUAAGUAAAAAUUAAAAGUUUAAGUUUUAACAAAUUGAAAAUAAAAAUAAAGUUACCAAUUAAGUAAAAAGUAAAAAGUAAAAAGUAAAAGUAAAAAUUAAAAGUUAAAUUUCAAAUUUUACAUAUAGAAGUUACGAGUUAUUGUAAAAAUAAAAGAGAAAACAAAAACUAAGAGGGAUGAAGAGAAGGCACCUUGAUAACGACCAAGAAUUUAGGGCAGCAACUCUCUUCUACUCCAAAAUUCGCCAACCAUUUGUAUCAGCUUCAAUUCUGAUGAAUUUUGCUUGGUUGAAAACCUAACUUGAAAACGCUCCUGCUCCAAGAAACUGUGUGGCAAUCCAAUACCUGAGGCAUGCUCAAUGCUCCUUCAAAGUUGAAUAACCGAGACUGCCACGGCAGCUUACCACCAUUCACUCCAAAAUGCACCAAAAAUUUGGAUCUACUUCAAACGUAAUCAAACUUGUGCCAUUGGAAGCUAAACUUGUAUGUGCUCUUAUUCUUAAAAUUUCAGAAUGUUUUAAGUAAACGGCACUGAGAAAUGUCUUUUCAAAGACUGGUGAUCCAAACUGCCAAGGCAGCCGACCCCCCUGCACUCAAAAAUUCACAAAAAAAUUGUUUUAGCUCCAAAUUGAGCAAGCCUAAACUCAUUGGGAAGCUGAAAAUAAGAGGUAUUUUCUCAAAAAAAUUCACUGAAAAAAGUAAAAGGAUCAAAAAAUGAUUGGGAAAAAUCCGAGGCCCUUCAAACCCACUUAACUAUAGAAGUAUUUGGAAACCACUAAUUCUAAGGGAGUGCCUUCUAAACCACAAUAAGU